GAUAAAGUGGCUGAGGUAGGCGGUAGAUUGUAAAUCUAUUAACGGGGUUAUGAACCUCCUUUAUCA
RNAcentral lists this transfer RNA (66 nucleotides) under Pseudosquilla ciliata. RNAcentral describes it as "tRNA-Tyr". It matches the Rfam family "tRNA". From Rfam's summary of the family: Transfer RNA (tRNA) molecules are approximately 80 nucleotides in length. Their secondary structure includes four short double-helical elements and three loops (D, anti-codon, and T loops). Lineage: Eukaryota; Metazoa; Arthropoda; Malacostraca; Stomatopoda; Pseudosquillidae. The record is from RNAcentral.